GACGAACGCUGGCGGCGUGCUUAACACAUGCAAGUCGAACGAUGAAGCCCAGCUUGCUGGGUGGAUUAGUGGCGAACGGGUGAGUAACACGUGGGCAACCUGCCCCAAACUCUGGGAUAACUCCUCGAAAGAGGUGCUAAUACCGGAUACGAACUAGGUAGACAUCUGCACUAGUUGGAAAGUUUUUCGGUUUGGGAUGGGCCCGCGGCCUAUCAGCUUGUUGGUGAGGUAACGGCUCACCAAGGCUACGACGGGUAACCGGCCUGAGAGGGCGACCGGUCACACUGGGACUGAGACACGGCCCAGACUCCUACGGGAGGCAGCAGUGGGGAAUAUUGCACAAUGGGCGAAAGCCUGACGCAGCGACGCCGCGUGAGGGAUGAAGGUCUUCGGAUCGUAAACCUCUUUCAGUAGGGACGAAGCGAAAGUGACGGUACCUAAAGAAGAAGCACCGGCUAACUACGUGCCAGCCGCCGCCGUAA
RNAcentral lists this ribosomal RNA (482 nucleotides) under uncultured bacterium. Its description in RNAcentral is "partial 16S ribosomal RNA". It matches the Rfam family "Bacterial small subunit ribosomal RNA", at positions 28 to 523 of the family's 1533-position model. The record is from RNAcentral.